This 202-nucleotide long non-coding RNA is filed under the name Elaeis guineensis (African oil palm). RNAcentral describes it as "long non-coding RNA (EGUI_LNC024844)". Lineage: Eukaryota; Viridiplantae; Streptophyta; Magnoliopsida; Arecales; Arecaceae. The record is from RNAcentral.
GUCGCCAAGAAAAAAGGGAGGGGGCAUCCAAGAGUUGGACGCCCCAAGACUCCAUACGCCAAGCCCUCAUCUCACGCCUCUUUGAAAGGGAUUUUCAAAGAAUUUUCCAUGGCUUUGCUUGCUGGUUCUUAGGCAUCAAAGAGGGUCUCUCUUGCUGGUUUUACAGUAAAAAAUAGAGAAGAAGGGUUCUUCCCAACGAGAG